This 205-nucleotide ribosomal RNA is filed under the name uncultured bacterium. RNAcentral describes it as "partial 16S ribosomal RNA". It matches the Rfam family "Bacterial small subunit ribosomal RNA", at positions 524 to 725 of the family's 1533-position model. The record is from RNAcentral.
UACGUAGGGUGCGAGCGUUAAUCGGAAUUACUGGGCGUAAAGCGUGCGCAGGCGGUUUUUGUAAGACAGAUGUGAAAUCCCCGGGCCACCACGGUGGAACUGCGUUUGUGACUGCAAGACUUGAGUAUGGCAGAGGGGGGGUAGAAUUCCACGUGUAGCAGUGAAAUGCGUAGAGAUGUGGAGGAAUACCGAUGGCGAAGGCAGC